This 497-nucleotide ribosomal RNA is filed under the name uncultured bacterium. Its description in RNAcentral is "partial 16S ribosomal RNA". It matches the Rfam family "Bacterial small subunit ribosomal RNA", at positions 28 to 507 of the family's 1533-position model. The record is from RNAcentral.
GAUGAACGCUGGCGGCGUGCCUAAUACAUGCAAGUAGAACGCUGAAGGAAGGAGCUUGCUCUUUCCGGAUGAGUUGCGAACGGGUGAGUAACGCGUAGGUAACCUGCCUGGUAGCGGGGGAUAACUAUUGGAAACGAUAGCUAAUACCGCAUAACAGUAGAUGUUGCAUGAUAUCUACUUAAAAGGUGCAAUUGCACCACUACCAGAUGGACCUGCGUUGUAUUAGCUAGUUGGUGAGGUAACGGCUCACCAAGGCGACGAUACAUAGCCGACCUGAGAGGGUGAUCGGCCACACUGGGACUGAGACACGGCCCAGACUCCUACGGGAGGCAGCAGUAGGGAAUCUUCGGCAAUGGACGGAAGUCUGACCGAGCAACGCCGCGUGAGUGAAGAAGGUUUUCGGAUCGUAAAGCUCUGUUGUAAGAGAAGAACGAGUGUGAGAGUGGAAAGUUCACACUGUGACGGUAUCUUACCAGAAAGGGACGGCUAACUACAUG